Molecule: ribosomal RNA, 407 nt
Filed under: bacterium enrichment culture clone ALO1_GLFRUDD03F55DT
Lineage: Bacteria
Description: bacterial SSU rRNA
Rfam family: Bacterial small subunit ribosomal RNA
Source: RNAcentral
GAGUUUGAUCGUGGCUCAGAUUGAACGCUGGCGGCAUGCCUUACACAUGCAAGUCGAACGGCAGCACGGGAGCUUGCUCCUGGUGGCGAGUGGCGAACGGGUGAGUAAUGCAUCGGAACGUAUCCUGGAGUGGGGGAUAACGUAGCGAAAGUUACGCUAAUACCGCAUAUUCUGUGAGCAGGAAAGCGGGGGACCUUCGGGCCUCGCGCUCUUGGAGCGGCCGAUGUCGGAUUAGCUAGUUGGUGAGGUAAAGGCUCACCAAGGCGACGAUCCGUAGCAGGUCUGAGAGGAUGAUCUGCCACACUGGAACUGAGACACGGUCCAGACUCCUACGGGAGGCAGCAGUGGGGAAUUUUGGACAAUGGGGGCAACCCUGAUCCAGCCAUGCCGCGUGAGUGAAGGAGGCC